Molecule: long non-coding RNA, 1995 nt
Filed under: Mus pahari (shrew mouse)
Lineage: Eukaryota; Metazoa; Chordata; Mammalia; Rodentia; Muridae
Description: lncRNA (MGP_PahariEiJ_G0005209.1)
Source: RNAcentral
GUACAUUUUCAGGCUUUGUCAUCCCCCGACUACACAGCACUCGGGACACAUUCCUUCCUACCUGGAGUUUGGUAUUGAUAUUGAAUUCCUCCAUUCCAUGAACAGCCUUGGGAACCAGAGCGCCUGCUGCGGACUCACUGUGAAACCCAGCCUCUCCUCGGAGCACUAAGAAGAGAUGUCUUCUGCCUUAUGGACUCUGAUCUCUCUCUCGACUCCAUCAUGCUGUUGCUUCUCUACCUGUCCACGGAAUUAAUAGCUUUUCUAAUAAAUGUCUUAGUUCCCAGUAAUCUUUCAGUGUCCCUCUUGGACACCCGACCCUGACACCACCAUCUAAAACCCAACAAUAACUGGCCAUUUUCUCAGCUGUUGAUGUUUACUGGGAGAUAAAUAGCUUCAGAUAACAGCUAACAGGAUCUUGAUGAACAAUCCAGAAAAGAGCUAGUACCAGCCACAGGGAUGCAGAGUUAGGAGGGCUGGUUUCUCAAGACAUGCCAGCACCUGGAAGCACACACUCUCCCAGGUCGUCCGGAUGAUUCUAACCAUGGCCUUGACUCUAUAUCCACACCACAGCUUCUGAAAGCCCUUUCUGUAAAGCCAGAUGCUCCCUGUAGUCUCCUGAGCAGGCACUGCCAGGCUGACUGGAUGCUCAGCAGUGCCAACUGGAUUUGCCAGUGUGAGAAGGGAGGAUUUUCUCAGCAGCAGCCCGAGAGAUCUCCCUCUAGUAGAAUUUUGAUGUGUAGGAGCACAGGGACCUCAUUUGUGUUCUGCUAAGAACACACAGUGCCGGAUGUGCUUGUGGGUGAAUACAUGGGUCAGGCUGCCAGGCCCAACCUAUGGCAACUGAACAGUGUCCAUCACACUCCCAGGAAGCCCUCAGAACAUCCCUUCUGCCCAAAGGAAGCUCUGUACACUCGCCCAACAUGUUUGAUUCAGAUACAGAGGACAAUGCCUGGGACAGAGACAACCAUUUCCAAAGAAGCAUCGAUGGUUGGGGUUGUCAAUUCACUAUGCAAGUGGAGCAGUGUGCAUCUGUCCACCACCCUUCUUUCCUCCCUGACUGUGAAUUCGCUGCAAUGAAGUUUUUCAAACUUACUUACCAUGGAAGACAAACCUAGAACUGAAGCUAAAACAAACCCUUUGUUCCCUGAGUUGUUUUUUUGCCAAGGGAUUUUAAUCACAACAGGAAGAGAAACCAGGACAACUUCUCUCCCUGGUGUACUCCUCUACAAGAGUUACAGCCCAGUCAAGCCCCUGGAGAUAGAGAGGAGCCAACGGGGAAGGUGGGAAGGUGUGUCAGCCCCUCCGCACUCCCCCAGCUGGCAUCUGACAUGGGCCAGAAGCAGAGUCAUUGGCCACAUCUCCAGAGACAGGGUAUAACCCUGGGGAUUCACACCUAAGCAGGGGAGGCAAAAGGGAAUCCCCUUUCCUUAUCCCACCUGCUAUAGAGACUUGCAGAGUGAGGUCAACUCCUGGUUGUGUAACUGAAGGAGUCACUGCCAUUAGAAGACACAGAGCAGCUCAAAUUGUGGGAAGCCACCUCUCCCUCAGCUGAGAGUUUGUAGGGAGCAUGGGAUCAUAUUCAGGGGCUCAUGUGCUCAUGAGCAGGUGUCCAUCAUCCUCAUUAGCCUCUUCGUAGGUCCUCACACCAUUCUCCCAAGCCCUGGUUCCCAUUCUCUCCACUCCAAAUGUUUUAGAAAGCAUAUCUUCCUUGGCUGUCUUUGGUGUGUCCCAGGCAAAUGCUGGCUUUACCUGUGCGGGGUAGGCACCAUUUCCUUGGGAGGAGCUAUGUGUGACAGGGGCUGAGUCCCACCCCAGACCUAGCAGAUGACAUUUUCUGAUCCUAGACCAUAUAUACCUAGAAGGGUGACCCCCCCCCCAAAAAAAAGCUUUAACUCAUCUCAGUGACAGGAUAUGGAGCAACUCAUCUGUGGCACGCAGCUUAGGGAACCGUGGCAGCCAGGGCAAAGGCCACACACUGCCAGAAGCUUCUGUAGA